UCCCUGUUACCAGGGCAGUCUGUCCAGAGAAAUUCAACUGGACAAAAGGGUUGCGCUCGUUAAUGGACUUAACCAAACAUCUCACGACACGAGCUGACGACGGCCAUGCAUCACCUGUCACUGGAUUCCCGAAGGCACUCUUUCCUUUCGGAAAGAUUCCCAGGAUGUCAAACCUUGGUAAGGUUCUUCGCUUAUCAUCGAAUUAAACAACACGCUCCACCGCUUGUGCGGGUCCCCGUCAAUUCCUUUAUGUUUUAAGCUUGCGCUCGUACUCCACAGGCGGGAUGCUUAACGCGUUAGCUUCGCUACUACCAGGGUCGAUACUGAUAACAGCUAGCAUCCAUCGUUUACGGCGUGGACUAC
RNAcentral lists this unclassified non-coding RNA (363 nucleotides) under uncultured bacterium. Its description in RNAcentral is "contains 16S-23S intergenic spacer region". The record is from RNAcentral.